Long non-coding RNA from Numida meleagris (helmeted guineafowl), 732 nucleotides. RefSeq lists it as uncharacterized. NCBI's taxonomy places the organism in Eukaryota, Metazoa, Chordata, Aves, Galliformes, Numididae. The transcript has 3 exons. The record is from RefSeq and is a predicted model, not a curated record.
GAGCAAAAUCAACAGAAAAAUCAAAACCCAAACUUGAAUUAAGGACAUCUUUAAAAAGUGAAUUGGGUUCUGAGAUCCAGGUGAAAGGACAAAUGCUAAAAAUACAGUUGAGCAGUGAGCACAAUGUGGUAACAUUGCACAGGCAGCAAAAUACCAAAAUAACACCAAGGACGGGAGACUGUUUUAAUGUACUUUCUGGCAUGAGCUGAGGAUGGAGUGUGGCUGGAAGCAUUGAGAUGCUGCCUUGGGCUGACACCUUACAUUAAUCUCGUUAGGCUGUGAAGAAGUCCCUUGGAAACAGCAGCAAUGUUGCAGGAAGCAUAUGUGGAACUACUCCUAUGGGAGCAGCUGCUGCUGCGGUGGGUCAGUCUUCACAGGAUCGCUCCCUCAGCUGAACUGCGUGCUCAUGAAGGUGGAGUAAAAGCAAUCAAGGUCACCAGCAUCAUCCACACACUGACAUUUCUAUAGGCCUUUGCUUUACAGCUACGAUAUUAAGUAGUUUGGCUAACUUUUUAGAAAUGUUACUAUUUUCUCAACAAAAUGUCAAGUAAGUUUUCAGGGGGGAAUACUUCAUAACUGAAGUAUGUUUUCCUAAGGGCAAUAAACCGCUAAGAAAUGUACUUUUUUCCCACCCAGCCUUUGAGCCAAAACUUUCACAUGUUUUUCAAAGAAAUAAAAUUAUAGGUGUUUCUCUGUAGUAGGGUGAAGUACCACCUGGGUGGCAGUGGUAGA